UCUUCGGAAUUAGAGACCGGCGCACGGGUGCGUAACGCGUUAUGCAAUCUACCUUUCACAGAGGGAUAGCCCAGAGAAAUUUGGAUUAAUACCUCAUAGUAUUAUGGAGUGGCAUCACUUUAUAAUUAAAGUCACAACGGUGAAAGAUGAGCAUGCGUCCCAUUAGCUAGUUGGUAAGGUAACGGCUUACCAAGGCUACGAUGGGUAGGGGUCCUGAGAGGGAGAUCCCCCACACUGGUACUGAGACACGGACCAGACUCCUACGGGAGGCAGCAGUGAGGAAUAUUGGACAAUGGGCGCAAGCCUGAUCCAGCCAUGCCGCGUGCAGGAUGACGGUCCUAUGGAUUGUAAACUGCUUUUGCACAGGAAGAAACAACAUUACGUGUAAUGUCUUGACGGUACUGUGAGAAUAAGGAUCGGCUAACUCCGUGCCAGCAGCCGCGGUAAUACGGAGGAUCCAAGCGUUAUCCGGAAUCAUUGGGUUUAAAGGGUCCGUAGGCGGUUUNGUAAGUCAGUGGUGAAAGCCCAUCGCUCAACGGUGGAACGGCCAUUGAUACUGCNAGACUUGAAUUAUUAGGAAGUAACUAGAAUAUGUAGUGUAGCGGUGAAAUGCUUAGAGAUUACAUGGAAUACCAAUUGCGAAGGCAGGUUACUACUAAUGGAUUGACGCUGAUGGACGAAAGCGUGGGUAGCGAACAGGAUUAGAUACCCUGGUAGUCCACGCCGUAAACGAUGGAUACUANCUGUUGGGAGCGAUCUCAGUGGCUAAGCGAANGUGAUAAGUAUCCCCCUGGGGAGUACGUUCGCAGAAUGAAACUCAAGGAAUUGACGGG
RNAcentral lists this ribosomal RNA (833 nucleotides) under Flavobacterium sp. RNAcentral describes it as "bacterial SSU rRNA". It matches the Rfam family "Bacterial small subunit ribosomal RNA", at positions 77 to 917 of the family's 1533-position model. Lineage: Bacteria; Pseudomonadati; Bacteroidota; Flavobacteriia; Flavobacteriales; Flavobacteriaceae. The record is from RNAcentral.